This 287-nucleotide RNase P RNA is filed under the name Thermoproteota archaeon. RNAcentral describes it as "RNase P RNA component". It matches the Rfam family "Archaeal RNase P". From Rfam's summary of the family: Ribonuclease P (RNase P) is a ubiquitous endoribonuclease, found in archaea, bacteria and eukarya as well as chloroplasts and mitochondria. Its best characterised activity is the generation of mature 5'-ends of tRNAs by cleaving the 5'-leader elements of precursor-tRNAs. Cellular RNase Ps are ribonucleoproteins. Lineage: Archaea; Thermoproteati; Thermoproteota. The record is from RNAcentral.
GUGAGCUAGCGAGCAAGUUACUUCAUUAUAACGAAGAGGAAACUCCUCCCUCAUAACGGGUACCUGAAUUAGCGAUAAUUAGAAGGAGACUUCUGGCAACGAAAUAGAAAAGUAUUCAGCUGACAUCGAAAGCGAUGAUGAUUGAUAAUCUGAGUGAUUUCAGUUUGAAAUGAAACUGUCGCCCCAGGUAGAGAAAGGCCAAACAGAGUAAAACCCCGUAUUAAUACUCAGGUAGGCUGCUUAGCUGAAUCUUGCCUAAAACAAAAGGAGGGUUACUACUAGGACAC